UGUGUAGGCCGCUUUUUAAGUUUGGUGUGAAAUCUCCCGGCUCAACCGGGAGGGUGCGCCGAAUACUGAAGGGCUAGAGUGCGGGAGAGGAGAGUGGAAUUCCUGGUGUAGCGGUGAAAUGCGUAGAUAUCAGGAGGAACACCGGUGGUGUAGACGGCUCUCUGGACCGUAACUGACGCUGAGACACGAAAGCGUGGGUAGCAAACAGGAUUAGAUACCCUGGUAGUCCACGCCCUAAACGAUGCAUAUUUGGUGUGGGUCAUUCAGUUGAUCCGUGCCGGAGCUAACGCGUUAAAUAUGCCGCCUGGGGAGUACAGUCGCAAGGCUGAA
Molecule: ribosomal RNA, 330 nt
Filed under: uncultured bacterium
Lineage: Bacteria
Description: bacterial SSU rRNA
Rfam family: Bacterial small subunit ribosomal RNA
Source: RNAcentral